This 450-nucleotide ribosomal RNA is filed under the name uncultured bacterium. RNAcentral describes it as "partial 16S ribosomal RNA". It matches the Rfam family "Bacterial small subunit ribosomal RNA", at positions 338 to 795 of the family's 1533-position model. The record is from RNAcentral.
CCUACGGGUGGCUGCAGUAAGGAAUAUUGGUCAAUGGAGGAAACUCUGAACCAGCCAUCCCGCGUGAAGGAUGAAGGGGCUCUGCCUUGUAAACUUCUUUUGUCUGGGGCGAAAAAGCUCGAUUUAUCGAGAACUGACGGUACCAGAAGAAUAAGCACCGGCUCACUCCGUUCCAGCAGCCGCGGUAAUACGGAGGGUGCCAGCGUUAUCCGGAAUAACGGGUUCGUAGGCGUGCUUGUAAGUCUGAGGUGAAAGGCUGUGGCUUAACCAUGGAAUUGCCAUUGAUACUGCAGAGCUUGAAUGAGGUUGAGGUUGGCGGAAUGUGACAUGUAGCGGUGAAAUGCUUAGAUAUGUCAUGGAACACCGAUUGCGAAGGCAGCUGACUGGACCUAUAUUGACGCUGAGGCACGAAAGCGUGGGGAGCGAACAGGAUUAGAUACCCUGGUAGUC